RNAcentral lists this transfer RNA (72 nucleotides) under Camelus bactrianus (Bactrian camel). It matches the Rfam family "tRNA". Rfam says of the family: Transfer RNA (tRNA) molecules are approximately 80 nucleotides in length. Their secondary structure includes four short double-helical elements and three loops (D, anti-codon, and T loops). The record is from Rfam by way of RNAcentral. RNAcentral also lists the same sequence under 2 other names. Lineage: Eukaryota; Metazoa; Chordata; Mammalia; Artiodactyla; Camelidae.
GAGGGUAGAGCUCAGUGGUAGAGCACGUGCUUAGCAUGCACAAGGUCCUGGGUUCAAUCCCCGGUACCGCCA